This 253-nucleotide ribosomal RNA is filed under the name uncultured bacterium. RNAcentral's name for it is "partial 16S ribosomal RNA". It matches the Rfam family "Bacterial small subunit ribosomal RNA", at positions 524 to 776 of the family's 1533-position model. The record is from RNAcentral.
UACGAAGGGGGCUAGCGUUGCUCGGAAUUACUGGGCGUAAAGCGUGCGUAGGUGGUUCGUUAAGUCUGAUGUGAAAGCCCUGGGCUCAACCUGGGAAUGGCAUUGGAUACUGGCGACCUAGAGUGCGGUAGAGGGGUGUGGAAUUCCCGGUGUAGCAGUGAAAUGCGUAGAUAUCGGGAGGAACAUCUGUGGCGAAGGCGACACCCUGGACCAGCACUGACACUGAGGCACGAAAGCGUGGGGAGCAAACAGG